GGAGCUAUAGCUCAGCGGUCAGAGCGCACGGCUGAUAACCGUGAGGUCCCCAGUUCGAUCCUGGGUAGCUCCACCA
This 76-nucleotide transfer RNA is filed under the name Candidatus Heimdallarchaeum aukensis. Its description in RNAcentral is "tRNA-Ile". It matches the Rfam family "tRNA". Rfam says of the family: Transfer RNA (tRNA) molecules are approximately 80 nucleotides in length. Their secondary structure includes four short double-helical elements and three loops (D, anti-codon, and T loops). Further hydrogen bonds mediate the characteristic L-shaped molecular structure. tRNAs have two regions of fundamental functional importance: the anti-codon, which is responsible for specific mRNA codon recognition, and the 3' end, to which the tRNAs corresponding amino acid is attached (by aminoacyl-tRNA synthetases). tRNAs cope with the degeneracy of the genetic code in two manners: having more than one tRNA (with a specific anti-codon) for a particular amino acid; and 'wobble' base-pairing, i.e. permitting non-standard base-pairing at the 3rd anti-codon position. Lineage: Archaea; Promethearchaeati; Candidatus Heimdallarchaeota; Candidatus Heimdallarchaeia (ex Rinke et al. 2021) (nom. nud.); Candidatus Heimdallarchaeales; Candidatus Heimdallarchaeaceae. The record is from RNAcentral.